AUGUGUCUACUCGUGGUUUUCAUCCUGUUCGUGUCCUUACGCGGCUCAUUAAGCCAAACGGUGACCCAGAGCCCGACAGCGGUGACCAGGAAGCAGUGUCAGUCUCUCACCAUUACCUGCCGUUUCCAGCCUGGUUCCAGCGGCAGCUAUUACUUACAGACUGGACAUUUCUUCAAACAUACCCAGUCCAGUACCCAGUGGGAGCGCAUCACGGGCGGGGGACGAUUCAUUGCGUCCACGAAUACAGCUGAAAAUACUUUUACACUGGAAAUACAGGAUUUGAGAGUUGAAGACAGCGCCACCUAUUACUGCAAAGCUGAGUACUGGUGGAGUGCACAGUGA
This is a non-coding RNA of Pristis pectinata (smalltooth sawfish), 342 nucleotides long. Lineage: Eukaryota; Metazoa; Chordata; Chondrichthyes; Rhinopristiformes; Pristidae. The record is from the annotation of a RefSeq genome assembly.